RNAcentral lists this ribosomal RNA (655 nucleotides) under Lecanora pulicaris. RNAcentral's name for it is "SSU rRNA". It matches the Rfam family "Bacterial small subunit ribosomal RNA", at positions 370 to 1050 of the family's 1533-position model. The record is from RNAcentral. Lineage: Eukaryota; Fungi; Ascomycota; Lecanoromycetes; Lecanorales; Lecanoraceae.
GUAUAGCGAUAGCUAAUUGCACUAACGAAUAGUUGAUGCAAUAUCGACUCUGUCGAAUAAAAUUCUAGGUAGAAUUAUGAUAAUGACAUUGUUUGCCUAUGUGUCUUGACCAAAUUACGUGCCAGCAGUCGCGGUAAUACGUAGAAGACUAGUGUUAUUCAUCUUUAAUAGGUUUAAAGGGUACCUAGACGGUAAAUCAAGCCUUCAAGGGGACUAGUUUACUAGAGUUACUUGUGAGGGGGUAUUAAAGUACUGCUGGUGUAGAGAUGAAAUUCUGUGAUACCUCUUUUCGUAAGAAAAAUAAUGGCACAGGUAUAGGCGAAAGCAUCCCCUUAUGUGAUAACUGACGUUGAAGGACGAAGGCUUUGUGUAGCGAACAGGAUUAGAUACCCCAGUAGUCAAAGCAGAAAAUGAUGAAUGUCAUAGAUUAGACAUAUAAUAGUUUAUUCUAUAAAUGAAAGUGUAAGCAUUCCACCUCAAGAGUAAUUUGGCAACAUUGGAACUGAAAUCAUUAGACCGUUUCUGAAACCAGUAGUGAAGUAUGUUGUUUAAUUUGAUAAUCCACAAAAAACCUUACCACAAUUUGAAUAUUUAUAUUAUUUUUCUCAUCUAUUAUAUUUUAUAAAAAUAAUACAUUUACAAGCGUUGCACGGGU